RNAcentral lists this unclassified non-coding RNA (402 nucleotides) under uncultured Cortinarius. RNAcentral describes it as "sequence contains ITS2". The stretch from base 1 to 154 matches the Rfam family "5.8S ribosomal RNA". Lineage: Eukaryota; Fungi; Basidiomycota; Agaricomycetes; Agaricales; Cortinariaceae. The record is from RNAcentral.
AACUUUUAACAAUGGAUCUCUUGGCUCUCGCAUCGAUGAAGAACGCAGCGAAAUGCGAUAAGUAAUGUGAAUUGCACAAUUCAGUGAAUCAUCGAAUCUUUGAACGCACCUUGCGCUCCUUGGUAUUCCGAGGAGCAUGCCUGUUUGAGUGUCAUUAAUAUAUAUCAAACUUCUCUUGUUGAGUUGUUUGGAUGUGGGGGUUUGCUGGCCUCUUAAAGGGGUUCAGCUCUCCUGAAAUGCAUUAGCAGAACAACCUGUUCAUUGGUGUGAUAAACUAUCUACGCUAUUGAAUGUGAAGGGAAGUUCAGCUUUCUAACAGUCUUUGGACAAAUUCAUCAUUAAUGUGACCUCAAAUCAGGUGGGACUACCCGCUGAACUUAAGCAUAUCAAUAAGCGGAGGCU